CUACCUUAAGGGCAAACCAGUUGAAAGACUGGGACGCAAAGUGACAGCACUGAUGGAUAUAGCACUAAUGGAUAUAUAGUGGGCUGCGCUACUAGG
This 96-nucleotide non-coding RNA is filed under the name Vibrio hippocampi. Its description in RNAcentral is "c-di-GMP-I". It matches the Rfam family "c-di-GMP-I riboswitch aptamer". From Rfam's summary of the family: GEMM was predicted in a large-scale screen for bacterial structured RNA regulatory elements. The record is from RNAcentral. Lineage: Bacteria; Pseudomonadati; Pseudomonadota; Gammaproteobacteria; Vibrionales; Vibrionaceae.